AGACGUCUACAUUAGAUACCCGUGUAGUCCCAGCCGUAAACUAUGCGCGUUAGGUGUAUCGGUGACCACGAGUCACCGAGGUGCCGAAGGGAAACCGUGAAACGUGCCGCCGUGGGAAGUACGGUCGCAAGGCUAGAAACUUAAAGGAAUUGGCGGGGAGCACCACAACGGGUGGAGCCUGCGGUUUAAUUGGACUCAACGCCGGGAAGCUCACCGGAUAAGACAGCGGAAUGAUUGCCGGGCUGAAGACUCUGCAUGACUAGCUG
This 266-nucleotide ribosomal RNA is filed under the name uncultured archaeon. RNAcentral describes it as "partial 16S ribosomal RNA". It matches the Rfam family "Archaeal small subunit ribosomal RNA", at positions 717 to 982 of the family's 1478-position model. The record is from RNAcentral.